CAUGGUCUUAUGCACAAACAAAGAUGUUUCUGCUUUCCUUUAUUUCUGUAAUCAGUUGUAGGGAAAAUUUUGUGAAGUCACACCACUCAGCUGUAUCAAUAGGCAUUCAAACGUUUAAUGCUUCGUACAUCUUAUACAUAACACAGUUUGUUUAGGGGUGUAUACAUCAACGGAAACAUUAACCAAUCAUCGGAGUCUCAGAACCAAAAGUAUAUAUUUUCAUAUAACAUUUUGUAAUGCUGUUAGUUAGUCUCCUGUUCACUGAUGCAAUUGACAGUAUGAGAUUAGGAACCCAAUUAAAAAUUGCAGAUGCUAGAAAGAAUGUCAAUAUUUAAAGUGCAGGAUGUUUAUAAGAGAUAGCGAAAACUGGUGUCAGGCGCAAGAACAGAAAAAUAUUGCAUUUUUUUUUUAAAAUGCCAGUUUAACCCAUUCAAAACAUGAGUAUCUUGUAUUAUAAUC
Molecule: non-coding RNA, 459 nt
Organism: Pelobates cultripes (western spadefoot toad)
Lineage: Eukaryota; Metazoa; Chordata; Amphibia; Anura; Pelobatidae
Source: the annotation of a GenBank genome assembly